This 305-nucleotide ribosomal RNA is filed under the name uncultured bacterium. Its description in RNAcentral is "bacterial SSU rRNA". It matches the Rfam family "Bacterial small subunit ribosomal RNA", at positions 335 to 637 of the family's 1533-position model. The record is from RNAcentral.
UGGCCUAUGGGGGGCAGCAGUGAGGAAUAUUGGUCAAUGGGCUUACGCCUGAACCAGCCAAGUCGCGUGAGGGAAGACUGCCCUAUGGGUUGUAAACCUCUUUUGUCAGGGAGCAAUUGGCGCUACGUGUAGCGUUAUCGAGAGUACCUGAAGAAAAAGCAUCGGCUAACUCCGUGCCAGCAGCCGCGGUAAUACGGAGGAUGCGAGCGUUAUCCGGAUUUAUUGGGUUUAAAGGGUGCGUAGGCGGAAUAUCAAGUCAGCGGUAAAAAUUCGGGGCUCAACCCCGUGGUGCCGUUGAAACUGAG